GUGAUAAACUGGAGGAAGGUGGGGAUGACGUCAAGUCAUCAUGGCCCUUACGACCAGGGCUACACACGUGCUACAAUGGCGCAUACAAAGAGAAGCGACCUCGCGAGAGCAAGCGGACCUCAUAAAGUGCGUCGUAGUCCGGAUUGGAGUCUGCAACUCGACUCCAUGAAGUCGGAAUCGCUAGUAAUCGUGGAUCAGAAUGCCACGGUGAAUACGUUCCCGGGCCUUGUACACACCGCCCGUCACACCAUGGGAGUGGGUUGCAAAAGAAGUAGGUAGCUUAACCUUCGGGAGGGCGCUUACCACUUUGUGAUUCAUGACUGGGGUGAAGUCGUAACAAGGUAACCGUAGGGGAACCUGCGGUUGGAUCAC
RNAcentral lists this ribosomal RNA (372 nucleotides) under Escherichia coli. RNAcentral describes it as "bacterial SSU rRNA". It matches the Rfam family "Bacterial small subunit ribosomal RNA", at positions 1155 to 1526 of the family's 1533-position model. The record is from RNAcentral. Lineage: Bacteria; Pseudomonadati; Pseudomonadota; Gammaproteobacteria; Enterobacterales; Enterobacteriaceae.